UACGUAGGUGGCGAGCGUUGUCCGGAUUUACUGGGCGUAAAGAGCGCGCAGGCGGUCGUUCAAGUCGCGUGUGAAAGCCCCCGGCUCAACUGGGGAGGGUCACGCGAUACUGAUCGACUCGAAGGCAGGAGAGGGAAGUGGAAUUCCCGGUGUAGUGGUGAAAUGCGUAGAUAUCGGGAGGAACACCAAUUGCGAAGGCAGCUCGCUGGGACGUAACUGACGCUGAGACGCGAAAGCGUGGGGAGCAAACAGG
This 253-nucleotide ribosomal RNA is filed under the name uncultured bacterium. RNAcentral's name for it is "partial 16S ribosomal RNA". It matches the Rfam family "Bacterial small subunit ribosomal RNA", at positions 524 to 776 of the family's 1533-position model. The record is from RNAcentral.